GUGCCAGCAGCCGCGGUAAUACGGAGGGUGCGAGCGUUAAUCGGAAUUACUGUGCGUAAAGCGUACGUAGGCGGUUUAUUAAGUUAAAUGUGAAAUCCCUGGGCUUAACCUAGGAACUGCAUUUAAAACUGGUAAGCUAGAGUCUCGUAGAGGGGGGAUAGAAUUCCAGGUGUAGCGGUGAAAUGCGUAGAGAUCUGGAGGAAUACCAGUGGCGAAAGCGACCCUCUGGACGAAACUGACGCUCAGGUACGAAAGCGUGGGGAGCAAACAGGAUUAGAUACCCCAGUAGUCC
RNAcentral lists this ribosomal RNA (292 nucleotides) under Sodalis endosymbiont of Rhizoecus sp. RNAcentral describes it as "partial 16S ribosomal RNA". It matches the Rfam family "Bacterial small subunit ribosomal RNA", at positions 505 to 796 of the family's 1533-position model. Lineage: Bacteria; Pseudomonadati; Pseudomonadota; Gammaproteobacteria; Enterobacterales; Bruguierivoracaceae. The record is from RNAcentral.